This 89-nucleotide microRNA precursor is filed under the name Canis lupus familiaris (dog). RNAcentral describes it as "mir-8799 microRNA precursor family". It matches the Rfam family "mir-8799 microRNA precursor family". The record is from Rfam by way of RNAcentral. Lineage: Eukaryota; Metazoa; Chordata; Mammalia; Carnivora; Canidae.
AGGGGGAGGCUGUAUCGUGAGCUGUGUCCCCAGCGCCCUGUGCUCCGGGCUGCGCUGUUGUAUUCGCGCUCCCAGCCGCACAGCCCCCU